This is a long non-coding RNA of Procambarus clarkii (red swamp crayfish), 312 nucleotides long. RefSeq lists it as uncharacterized. The record is from RefSeq and is a predicted model, not a curated record. NCBI's taxonomy places the organism in Eukaryota, Metazoa, Arthropoda, Malacostraca, Decapoda, Cambaridae.
GCAACUCAAGACGUUCUCCCUCUUGAUGUUGCAAGAUGUUGCAUAUUUCAGACCAAUUAUAUUAGGCGAUCUUCAUGGAACUUACACACCUUACUGAAGGAAUGCCAAUCUACAAGGGUGGUAAUUUUGAUUGAAAAAGGGUAGUUCAUCAACCUCAGCCAAAGGUGGCUGAACUUUGACCUUCAUUUUUUACAGGCUGCGAUGCUGAAACUUGGACCACUUGCAGCCCUCUUCACGUGUAACACGUCAAUAAAUUUUCAUUGCACUAGAACAACUUUUAUGAACCCUAACUAACGCCCCCACAAACACAAG